Molecule: ribosomal RNA, 497 nt
Filed under: uncultured bacterium
Lineage: Bacteria
Description: partial 16S ribosomal RNA
Rfam family: Bacterial small subunit ribosomal RNA
Source: RNAcentral
GAUGAACGCUGGCGGCGUGCCUAAUACAUGCAAGUCGAGCGAACGGACGAGAAGCUUGCUUCUCUGAUGUUAGCGGCGGACGGGUGAGUAACACGUGGAUAACCUACCUAUAAGACUGGGAUAACUUCGGGAAACCGGAGCUAAUACCGGAUAAUAUUUUGAACCGCAUGGUUCAAAAGUGAAAGACGGUCUUGCUGUCACUUAUAGAUGGACCCGCGCUGCAUUAGCUAGUUGGUAAGGUAACGGCUUACCAAGGCAACGAUGCAUAGCCGACCUGAGAGGGUGAUCGGCCACACUGGAACUGAGACACGGUCCAGACUCCUACGGGAGGCAGCAGUAGGGAAUCUUCCGCAAUGGGCGAAAGCCUGACGGGGCAACGCCGCGUGAGUGAUGAAGGUCUUCGGAUCGUAAAACUCUGUUAUUAGGGAAGAACAUAUGUGUAAGUAACUGUGCACAUCUUGACGGUACCUAAUCAGAAAGCCACGGCUAACUACGUG